AGAGUUUGAUCCUGGCUCAGGAUAAACGCUGGCGGCGUGCAUGAGACAUGCAAGUCGAACGAACGAGCUUGCUCGUUAGUGGCGAACGGCUGAGUAACGCGUAGGUGACCUGCCCCGAAGUGGGGGAUAACUGCCCGAAAGGGUGGCUAAUACCGCAUGUGGCGACGUGUUCAAUCACGUCAUCAAAGCCGCGAGGCGCUUCGGGAGGGGCCUGCGUCCGAUUAGCUCGUUGGUGGGGUAACGGCUCACCAAGGCGACGAUCGGUAGGUGGUCUGAGAGGACGAUCACCCAGACUGGGACUGAGACACGGCCCAGACUCCUACGGGAGGCAGCAGUCGGGAAUUUUGCUCAAUGGGGGAAACCCUGAAGCAGCAACGCCGCGUGCGGGAUGAAGGCCUUCGGGUUGUAAACCGCUUUUUUCAGGGACGAUGAUGACGGUACCUGAAGAAUAAGUCACGGCUAACUACGUGCCAGCAGCCGCGGUAACACGUAGGUGACCAGCGUUGUCCGGAUUUACUGGGCGUAAAGAGCGCGCAGGCGGUCGUUCAAGUCGAGUGUGAAAGCCCCCGGCUCAACUGGGGAGGGUCAUUCGAUACUGAUCGACUUGAAGGCAGGAGAGGGAAGUGGAAUUCCCGGUGUAGUGGUGAAAUGCGUAGAUAUCGGGAGGAACCCAGUGGCGAAGGCGACUUCCUGGCCUGUUCUUGACGCUGAGGCGCGAAAGCUAGGGGAGCAAACGGGAUUAGAUACCCUAGUAGUCC
RNAcentral lists this ribosomal RNA (758 nucleotides) under uncultured bacterium. Its description in RNAcentral is "bacterial SSU rRNA". It matches the Rfam family "Bacterial small subunit ribosomal RNA", at positions 8 to 796 of the family's 1533-position model. The record is from RNAcentral.